This 58-nucleotide transfer RNA is filed under the name Salmo salar (Atlantic salmon). It matches the Rfam family "tRNA", at positions 8 to 63 of the family's 71-position model. Rfam says of the family: Transfer RNA (tRNA) molecules are approximately 80 nucleotides in length. Their secondary structure includes four short double-helical elements and three loops (D, anti-codon, and T loops). Further hydrogen bonds mediate the characteristic L-shaped molecular structure. tRNAs have two regions of fundamental functional importance: the anti-codon, which is responsible for specific mRNA codon recognition, and the 3' end, to which the tRNAs corresponding amino acid is attached (by aminoacyl-tRNA synthetases). tRNAs cope with the degeneracy of the genetic code in two manners: having more than one tRNA (with a specific anti-codon) for a particular amino acid; and 'wobble' base-pairing, i.e. permitting non-standard base-pairing at the 3rd anti-codon position. The record is from Rfam by way of RNAcentral. RNAcentral also lists the same sequence under 2 other names. Lineage: Eukaryota; Metazoa; Chordata; Actinopteri; Salmoniformes; Salmonidae.
UGGCUUAGUUGGUAGAGCAUGCCAUUUGAAAUGCCAGGGUUGUGGGUUUGAUUCCCAC